Molecule: ribosomal RNA, 470 nt
Filed under: uncultured bacterium
Lineage: Bacteria
Description: partial 16S ribosomal RNA
Rfam family: Bacterial small subunit ribosomal RNA
Source: RNAcentral
GACGAACGCUGGCGGCGUGCUUAACACAUGCAAGUCGAACGCUGAAGCUUGGUGCUUGCACUGGGUGGAUGAGUGGCGAACGGGUGAGUAAUAAGUGAGUAACCUGCCCUUGACUCUGGGAUAAGCCUGGGAAACUGGGUCUAAUACUGGAUACGACAUGUCACCGCAUGGUGGUGUGUGGAAAGGGUUUUACUGGUUUUGGAUGGGCUCACGGCCUAUCAGCUUGUUGGUGGGGUAAUGGCUCACCAAGGCGACGACGGGUAGCCGGCCUGAGAGGGUGACCGGCCACACUGGGACUGAGACACGGCACAGACUCCUACGGGAGGCAGCAGUGGAGAAUAUUGCACAAUGGGCGGAAGCCUGAUGCAGCGACGCCGCGUGAGGGAUGACGGCCUUCGGGUUGUAAACCUCUCAGCACGGAAGAAGCGAAAGUGACGGUACGUGCAGAAGAAGCGCCGGCUAACUACGUG